RNAcentral lists this ribosomal RNA (253 nucleotides) under uncultured bacterium. Its description in RNAcentral is "partial 16S ribosomal RNA". It matches the Rfam family "Bacterial small subunit ribosomal RNA", at positions 524 to 776 of the family's 1533-position model. The record is from RNAcentral.
GACAGAGGGGGCAAGCGUUGCUCGGAAUUACUGGGCGUAAAGGGCGCGUAGGCGGGAUGGCAAGUCGGUCGUGAAAUCCCUCGGCUCAACCGAGGAACGUCGAUCGAUACUGCUGUUCUUGAGGAUUGCAGAGGAGACUGGAAUUCCCGGUGUAGCGGUGAAAUGUGUAGAGAUCGAGAGGAACACCUGCGGCGAAGGCGGGUAGCUGGGCCGACACUGACGCUGAGGCGCGAAAGCCAGGGGAGCGAACGGG